ACGGCUCAGUAACACGUGGAGAACGUGCCCUUAAGUGGGGGAUAAUCUCGGGAAAUUGAGGAUAAUACCCCAUAGGUCAUGGGAUCUGGAAUGACCCAUGGCUGAAAGUUCCGGCGCUUAAGGAUCGCUCUGCGGCCUAUCAGGUAGUAGUGGGUGUAACGUACCCCCUAGCCUACGACGGGUAUGGGCCUUGAGAGAGGGAGCCCAGAGUUGGAUUCUGAGACACGAAUCCAGGCCCUACGGGGCGCAGCAGUCGCGAAAACUUCACACUGGGGGGAACCCCGAUGAGGGAAUUCCUAGUGCUUGGGCAUUUGUCCAAGCUUUUCCCGAGCGUAGAUAACUCGGGGAAUAAGGGCUGGGUAAGACGGGUGCCAGCCGCCGCGGUAAUACCUGCAGCCCGAGUGGUGGUCGAUUUUAUUGAGUCUAAAGCGUUCGUAGCCGGUCCGUUAAAUCCUUGGGUAAAUCGGGAAGCUCAACUUUCCGACUUCCGAGGAGACUGGCGGACUUGGGACCGGGAGAGGCCAGAGGUACUUCUGGGGUAGGGGUAAAAUCCUGUAAUCCUAGAAGGACCACCGGUGGCGAAGGCGUCUGGCUAGAACGGAUCCGACGGUGAGGGACGAAGCCCUGGGUCGCAAACGGGAUUAGAUACCCCGGUAGUCCAGGGUGUAAACGCUGCCGACUUGGUGUUGGGGGCCCUUCGGGGGAACUCAGUGCCGGAGAGAAGUUGUUAAGUCGGCCACUUGGGGAGUACGUCCGCAAGGAUGAAACUUAAAGGAAUUGGCGGGGGAGCACAAUCGUAAUCCAUGUCCCUAGGUCC
RNAcentral lists this ribosomal RNA (817 nucleotides) under uncultured archaeon. RNAcentral describes it as "bacterial SSU rRNA". It matches the Rfam family "Archaeal small subunit ribosomal RNA", at positions 85 to 904 of the family's 1478-position model. The record is from RNAcentral.